UAACAUUUCUACAAGUAGUAGAAGGCAAGGUAGAUGUACUUAUGAAGGUUCAUCAAUAUAGAACUCCAGGUGUAAGUUGUCGCUAUCAAUUAUUCAUGCGAGUUAGUGUACGUGGGUCAAAAAAUGUAUUUUUUAUUUCUGUCGCUACAUACAGUGCUCGACAUGUCAUCGCGUCCUAUGUUUUUACAUAUCGAUUUCUAUUCGCGAUUGUCGGUAGAACAUAAACAUGGAGAAAAAAGUGAAUUGUAGAAGUUAGUCUGUGACAUAAUAAUUCUUAAGUCUUACAAUUCGAAACGUUUAGCUCGUGCGAGUUGAGUUAUGUACAGGUCUGAAGUAUAAAAAAGAUUUUCUAUAAGAUUUCCCAUAAAAAGAUUUUAUUAGGGGGUUUCAUUGUAGUCUAAAUUUUAUAUUUUGGUAUACAGUUGCAAACCGGACUGACAAGCUGCGUGGUCUGGAUUUGGCCCAUCGGCCAGACAUUAAACAUUCGUGCCGCAAAUAUAGUGAUAUUAUGAAUAAUAUACCCUAUUGUAGGAUAUCAUUAUUGUAUCAUUUUGUUCGCAGUCUUGAAAUGUCAUUAGGUGCAAUGCUACAUCGAAAAUAACAUAUUAGAAAGAAAAGAAAAAAAUUCCAAAGAUUCAUCAAUAAAGUAUAAGAUGCGAACCUCGACAAUAUCUUGACAUACGUCUUUCACAUCAAUAUAUGACAUAUUAUGACGUCUAUUCUUACAAGAGAAGUAUUCGCAGUGCUCUAAUAUUGAUUUCUAUACGCAAUAUAUAAUUAGAUGAAGGAAUCAUAUAAAAGGUAUGCAUUUAUAAAAUUAUAGUCAAACAUACAAUUUGAUUACAUAGGAGACAAGUAGGAUUAGCAGGAAAAAUCCAGUGAGUAAAAAAAGCCAUGGUAAAUUCCGGAUUUUACCGUCCCGGACUUUAUCUUAUAAACUGGCAAAUUGGAAUAAACUGGCAAAAACUAUAAAAAUGACUAUUGAAUGCAUCUUUUGUAAGUGUAUUAACAGAAAUAAGGAUCCUGCAAUUUAAUACUUCCGUAGUGUUUAUUGACUCCAAAACUCAUAUCUUAAAAAUUUAAAUUUUGUAACAAACUUAGAUUUUGUAACGUUUAUUUUUUUCAGUAAUAUAUAUAAAAAUACUUUAAAAAUAUAAAAGACAGUGUCAUAUACAUGUACAUAUAUUUUUUACUAUUGCUAUUAAGCAGAAAAACAUUAAGACAAUUAUCGACAACAAUUAAAUCAUUACACUUCUUUUAUAAUUAUGUGCAACUAAUAUAAAACUCUGUUCUUAGCCUUUCAACUGUAUUACUUUUACACUUGCGUUAAUAAGUUAUAAAUAGAGUAUGAUGUUUUAAGAAACUGAAAUUAUAAAAGACACUUAAGCUGAUUUAAAACAUUUAAAUAUUAUUAUUAAACACAAUAAUAUUUAUCAAUAACAAUGUAUCUAUAUAACGGGUUUAUAACAGUAAUAAAUUUAUUUAUCAAUAUAAUUCUUGUUAACUAAGUAUAAUUAUAGAAUAUAAACAGCAAUGACUAACCAUUUUAAUAGUGAAACACAUUAAUUAUUUAAUUUAUAUUAUAUUAAAAUGUUACAAUAAAUAUUUUAUACUGACCAUUACAAAGGAAUCCAAAUUCAUGGUCAAAAUAUAUACUGUAGAAAUUUCAAUGAGUAUCAUUGUACGUAUCAUAAUUAUCGAUAAGUUUUUUUUCACACUAUUGUCCAAAAUUGUCCAACCUAUUUGAAAAAUGCUGUUCUGCUAAUUGGAGAUUCUGCAAAAUAAUAUGUAAAAUAUCAUAUCUUUUCUUCCUAAUGUCUUGUUUUAUUAGAUAAAUCUUUAAUUUAACUUUGUUUUCAAACCAGCAAUAAAUAAAUAUUUCCAUCAGCAUGCAGCUUGUGAACAUAAUUAACAAAAUGUGAUCUGUAUUCAAAGUUGACUUAGACACUUGAUACAAAUUUGAGCACAUUAUCAACAUACUUGUUAAAAACUGAAAUCCAAUUAUUUUAAUAAAUUUUAAAUUUACUAUCUGUGCAAAUCUGUAAUCAAUAUUUUGCUUUUAGAAAAUAUUUUUAUAUUAGGAUAAGAAUGCCAUCAAUAACAAUCUGAAAGAAAAACCAAGCAUAUUAAUAAUAAAUAAUAGGCCGAGAACGAGUUCUUUGGUCUUUCGGGUUACAAUUUACUUUUAAUGUUGACAACUAAGAUACAGCGAACGUUUCGGAUAUAGUUGUCCUUCUUCAGCCGCAUUAAUUUACAUUUCUAGUGUCGAAUUACUAUACUUAAUUAUUAAUUUCUACGUAAAUGCAUAACUAUGCCGAUUUUUUUGUACGUUAUAUAAAAAACAGUAUUUUAUUCGUCGAUGCAACGCGAGAAAAGUUUGAAUCCAUGGCCCACUGUAAGAUACCGUCUCUAUGUUCCGAUCUUGAAAUAGCAUAUCGCAUCGAUAAAGUGCUCAAUUGUGUGUUUGUUUCGUGCGGAGAUGAAUACCCGACAAGCAUAUUAAAAUUAAAAUUAUAUUUUUAAACAACAUUAAAUGUAUUUACUUAUUAUGACACUCAAUCAGUGUUAUUAUUAUAACUAGGCGAGACCUGAUUUCCACACAUUUUCAGCUAGAAUUUUGAGCAAGGUAUAUUUAAAUUGUCUGAAUGUGUUAUAUAAUUAUAAUAACUACUUCAAAGUUAAUAUUUGUCUUCUUUGAAUCUUUGUCUUUAUGAUUUAUAUAUUUUUAAUCGUAUUUGUCAGAGAUUGAAAAAUUCAAUAAUCAUAUGUCAUUUCAUACAAUGUUACUUUCAUAUUUGUAAAAAUGUCGUACUAAUUAUGUCUUAUAAAAAGCAUGUUGACAGAUUUUAGUUAAUAAUAAUAAUAUGGUAAUAAAUUAUAUGGUAAUAAUAAUUACAUGGCAAUGAAAUGUCAUACUAAAUAAAUUCAUUUUAGCGCAUGCAAAAUAUUUUUAAAAUAUAAUUUUAAUCUUUAAAAUAUUUUAAUUUAAUUUAUUUUAUUGUGUACUAACAAGUUUCUAUAAUAGUUACUCUCGGUUACAUAAAAAUAAAAGAAAAAAGAUAAAAUACGCAAAUAGUGAGACGACAGCAUGGCUACUGUUAUGAUGUUCACAAGAUAGUUUAUGCAAAAAGAGGAUAGCUCCGAUAUUUAUUCCGCACAGAAAUAAAAAAAAAAUAAAAGUGAGGAUAAUUGAUGCGCAACCACUCUGUUAAAUAUGACUUAAUAUAAAUAAGACAUGCAGAUAAUCCAAUUUUACGCUUUAAUAAAACUUGCAUUUACUUAUAUAUAUACUCAAUUUCUUUCAUAGAACUAUUGACAACGCUCUUGUGUUACUAAUCAUAUAUUGCGUAAAUAAAGUUCAUAUAAGUGUGAAAAAUUUGUUUAUUUGCAAUACCAGGAAAUACGAAAGAAAUUAUGAUACAUAUAAGAACUAGUAACAGAAUAAACAUAUUGAUGUUUAAAGCAUUGAUAUAAACUUGCACAUUAUUUUUCUUUUUAAUCAAAAAAUAAUAAAUAAAAAAAAUAUACAAUUUUCAUGGCAGUUUGGUUAAAAUUAACACACAUAAUAACAAUGCUCAA
Long non-coding RNA from Solenopsis invicta (red fire ant), 3579 nucleotides. RefSeq lists it as uncharacterized. The record is from RefSeq and is a predicted model, not a curated record. NCBI's taxonomy places the organism in Eukaryota, Metazoa, Arthropoda, Insecta, Hymenoptera, Formicidae. The transcript has 2 exons.